This 233-nucleotide unclassified non-coding RNA is filed under the name plant metagenome. RNAcentral's name for it is "partial contains small subunit ribosomal RNA, internal transcribed spacer 1, and 5.8S ribosomal RNA". The stretch from base 1 to 54 matches the Rfam family "Eukaryotic small subunit ribosomal RNA", at positions 1778 to 1831 of the family's 1831-position model. The record is from RNAcentral.
GGAAGUAAAAUUCGUAACAAGGUUUCCGUAGGUGAACCUGCGGAAGGAUCAUUCAUAAUAAAGUGUUUUAUGGCACUUUUUAAAAAUCCAUAUCCACCUUGUGUGCAAUGUUAGAUCUCGUCAAUCUUGGCGAGAUUUUUAUACAUCAACUCAUUCUUUAACUAAUUUGUCUGAAAAAUAUUAUGAAUACUUAAUUCAAAAUACAACUUUCAACAACGGAUCUCUUGGCUCUC